UAUAAUUUAAAGUAGGGCCUGCCCACUGAGAUUUUGAAGGGCCGCAGUAUCUUAACUGUGCAAAGGUAGCAUAAUCAUUAGUUUUUUAAUUGAAAGCUGGAAUGAAUGGUUUGAUGAAAAAAUUACUGUUUCAAUAUUAAUUUUUUAAAAUUUUAUUUUUAAGUAAAAAAGCUUAAAUAAUAAUAAAAGACGAGAAGACCCUAUAGAGUUUUAUUUAUUUUAAUAUAUUAAUAUUAAGUUUUUAUUUUUUAGUAUAUUUAAAUAAAUUUGAUUGGGGUGAUUUAAAAAUUAAAUUAACUUUUUAUAAAUUUGUACAUUUAUUUAUG
RNAcentral lists this ribosomal RNA (326 nucleotides) under Scymnus rubromaculatus. Its description in RNAcentral is "partial 16S ribosomal RNA". The record is from RNAcentral. Lineage: Eukaryota; Metazoa; Arthropoda; Insecta; Coleoptera; Coccinellidae.